GUGUUCCUGCUGCCUGUGUGUUUUUAUCCCUUUGUCUCCACCAGCCUGUGUUGUCCCUUCCUGCCUACUUAUCUACCCUUCUACCUAUGAGCUUCACAGAAUCUGGAUGUGACUCUCCUUCAUCACUGUGUUGCCUUGCCAUGACCUUUGCCGAUUGACACUCAGCGGUCCCAGAUGACCAGAGGACUGCCGGACAAUCCCGAGAGGAGAGAAUACAACACAGAGAUGGUAGAGCUGCAUGGAGAUGAAGCACAACAGAGAGAAGAGAGAAUAUCCAGCAGAGAGAAAAUGAUGAGGCAGCGAGGCAGAGGCCGUGGCUUUUCUCAGAGAUGAACAUUAAUAAUAUGACCAGCCACAAUAGAAGCACUGAGAUCAGAGAGAUCACCUCCAUUGUCCCGCCAUCUCCUACUGACACCGACCGCUCUGGUGAAGGAAGAAUAAGAAGAAUAGAGGAGCAUAACCUGGCCGCUCA
Molecule: long non-coding RNA, 472 nt
Organism: Xiphias gladius (swordfish)
Lineage: Eukaryota; Metazoa; Chordata; Actinopteri; Istiophoriformes; Xiphiidae
Exons: 3
Source: RefSeq, a predicted model, not a curated record